UACGUAGGGUGCGAGCGUUGUCCGGAAUUACUGGGCGUAAAGAGCUCGUAGGUGGUUUGUCGCGUUGUUCGUGAAAUCUCACGGCUUAACUGUGAGCGUGCGGGCGAUACGGGCAGACUAGAGUACUGCAGGGGAGACUGGAAUUCCUGGUGUAGCGGUGGAAUGCGCAGAUAUCAGGAGGAACACCGGUGGCGAAGGCGGGUCUCUGGGACGGUACUGACGCUGAGACGCGAAAGCGUGGGGAGCGAACAGG
This 253-nucleotide ribosomal RNA is filed under the name uncultured bacterium. RNAcentral's name for it is "partial 16S ribosomal RNA". It matches the Rfam family "Bacterial small subunit ribosomal RNA", at positions 524 to 776 of the family's 1533-position model. The record is from RNAcentral.